AAUUAUAAAUCCUGAAGGAUCAAUUAAUUGGUACAUAUACAGUUUAAUUAAAAAAAAAUAAAAAUAAAAAAUGAAAUAAUGUGCAUUCGCGUAAAGUUAGACCAAAUGCAUUUUUUCCAUACUCCUACCUAUCGUUAUAAAGGUAUAAAAAAAAGAUAGGUUAAGAGUUCACAUAGGUAAUAUAAACAAAUAAGUAAAUAUGUUCAUUAUUUCUCUUUUAAGAGAUAAUGUAGGUAUACAUUAUAAUAACUUUUUUACACAGUCGAAAUUAUAUUCAUAACAUUAGUAAAAUAACAUUUUAAUAUUUUUUUUAUAGGUUAUGUAUUGAAAUUGUUGGAAAAUUAUUUCAUGUUUUAGCUGGAAAACGACAUGGAGAAUUAUAUGCAAUACAAGAUAAUGAGCUCCAUCAAAUGAAUUCGAAUGAAACCAAACUGUUUACCAUCCAAAUUCGAUUGUCGGGCAGAUAGAAAACGAAAAUUCACUCAUAGUGAACCUCGGCCUGCAUUUGUGAAACGGCAAAGACUCACUAUUAUCAAGGAAAUUGAAGAGACGACUAAAAAUGAGAUGUGUCGUAUUAUUAUACCUUUGCCAUAUUGUAGUCAAGAUGUUCAGCCACUUGAAAAUAGGUGUAGUAAUGACAAAGCUAUCCAAGUAGCUCCAGCACAGGAACACAAAGGCAAGGCAAGUGUGUAUUGCCCCAUCACCCCUUAAUAUAUCUGAAGCAAGUACAAGUAAACAAUCAGAACAGUGAUGAGUCAAAUGCACCAGCAACAGAAGGAUCAGCUGUUGACUAUGAGUUAUCUCUCUAUAUCUCCACUCCAUCAAAGACUUGUGCACUUCAGAGUAUAGCUCUCAAGAAGACUACAAAAGUUGAAAAAAUGAAUCUGUUAACAACUUCAUCUAAAGUGAAAAAUAAACCACAUUUAUUUAUUGGACUUCCACAAGAAUUAUAUUUCAUAAUAGGCUUGAUUGAGAAACAUACAAAUGGUUCUGAACAAAAUAUUAUAUUAUGUUUGAUGAGAAUAAUAUUAAAUAGAACAUUCUCUCAAUUGGCUGAUGAUUUUGAUUUAUCUGUAAGUCAAGCAAGCAAUAUAUUUUUCAACAAACUCCCAGAAAUUGCAAAUGUAAUAUCACCCCUUGUUAAAAAAAAACAAUACAAUAAAUAUAUAUGCAGGAAGGAUAAUUGAUGUCAACUUUGUGGAAAAUAGAAAGUUUUUAGACAGUUUGCCACCUCUUACAAGACGCUGUAAUUAAAUAAGUAAUCCUUAGUAGGAAUUUUUGUAAGUAUUUUCACUUUUCAUUCAAAAACUACUGAACAGAUUUUAAUAAAACUUCUAUGCUGGUCUUCUAUGGCUAGCAACCAUCGAUGCUAGCAACUCAUUAUUAUUUUGAUUCUGUUUAUCACAAAUGUGCCAACUAUGGGCUUAUAUAUUAUAUGAAAAGGAAUAAGAUUAAUGUUAUGUAACCUUUGUACCUGUAAGUUAAGAAUAUUUUUUAAAUAAAACAUAUUUAAAUUGAAA
Bombyx mori (domestic silkworm) is the source of this 1520-nucleotide long non-coding RNA. RefSeq lists it as uncharacterized. Lineage: Eukaryota; Metazoa; Arthropoda; Insecta; Lepidoptera; Bombycidae. The record is from RefSeq and is a predicted model, not a curated record. The transcript has 2 exons.